UACGGGGGGAGCAAGCGUUGUUCGGAUUUACUGGGCGUAAAGGGCGCGUAGGCGGUCAGCACAAGUCAGUUGUGAAAUCUCCGGGCUUAACUCGGAAAGGUCAACUGAUACUGUGCGACUAGAGUGCAGAAGGGGCAACUGGAAUUCUCGGUGUAGCGGUGAAAUGCGCAGAUAUCGGGAGGAACACCGGUGGCGAAGGCGGCAUCCUGGACCGGCAUUGACGCUGAGGCGCGAAAGCUAGGGGAGCAAACGGG
RNAcentral lists this ribosomal RNA (254 nucleotides) under uncultured bacterium. RNAcentral describes it as "partial 16S ribosomal RNA". It matches the Rfam family "Bacterial small subunit ribosomal RNA", at positions 524 to 776 of the family's 1533-position model. The record is from RNAcentral.